This 552-nucleotide ribosomal RNA is filed under the name uncultured eukaryote. RNAcentral's name for it is "SSU rRNA". It matches the Rfam family "Eukaryotic small subunit ribosomal RNA", at positions 20 to 575 of the family's 1831-position model. The record is from RNAcentral.
GUAGUCAUAUGCUUGUCUCAAGGAUUAAGCCAUGCAUGUCUAAGUAUAAGCAAUCUAUACGGUGAAACUGCGAAUGGCUCAUUAAAUCAGUUAUCGUUUAUUUGAUAGUACCUUACUACUUGGAUAACCGUGGUAAUUCUAGAGCUAAUACAUGCUAAAAACCCCGACUUCGGAAGGGGUGUAUUUAUUAAAUAAAAAACCAAUGCCCUUCGGGGCUCACUGGUGAUUCAUAAUAACUUAACGAAUCGCAUGGCCUUGUGCCGGCGAUGGUUCAUUCAAAUUCCUGCCCUAUCAACUUUCGAUGGUAUGGUCUUGGCUUACCAUGGUUUCAACGGGUAACGGGGAAUUAGGGUUCUAUUCCGGAGAGGGAGCCUGAGAAACGGCUACCACAUCCAAGGAAGGCAGCAGGCGCGCAAAUUACCCAAUCCCGACACGGGGAGGUAGUGACAAUAAAUAACAAUAUAGGGCUCUUUCGGGUCUUAUAAUUGGAAUGAGUACAAUUUAAAUCUCUUAACGAGGAACAAUUGGGGGGCAAGUCUGGUGCCAGCAGCC